RNAcentral lists this non-coding RNA (28 nucleotides) under Cricetulus griseus (Chinese hamster). Lineage: Eukaryota; Metazoa; Chordata; Mammalia; Rodentia; Cricetidae. The record is from RNAcentral.
GGGCAACAAAGGAACUGAGGAAACUGAA